Cephus cinctus (wheat stem sawfly) is the source of this 2946-nucleotide long non-coding RNA. RefSeq lists it as uncharacterized. The transcript has 5 exons. Lineage: Eukaryota; Metazoa; Arthropoda; Insecta; Hymenoptera; Cephidae. The record is from RefSeq and is a predicted model, not a curated record.
AAAAAAUUACCCACAGGAAUAACAUAACCGUCCAAAGUCCCUAGGAAUUUCCCUAGCCGUCAGUUUCUCCUAAUCGAGAAUUCGUCUCGUUGUUUCACUUUAAUUAUCAUUAUAUCCAAGAUGGUCGUCUCCGAGUCAGCGACUGUUUCUCUUGUGUUUCUUUGUUUAUUUUUCAAAGGUUCAAUUCCGUCGUGAAUUACGUGCGCGCCUUAUACGUAGUUUCCUCGUGCGAAUUGACUCAGCGCAACCGUCCAAGGGAAUUCAAAUUUAAUGGAACUACUCGCCUCGUUACGUGUACACCUCUGGCGUAAAGGUGGACCCUCAUGUCAGUGACGUCAAGUAUAUAACGUAUAUCAGCCACGACAUCAACUCUGACACACAUACCUUGCUUAACUCCUCAUUAAGAGGAACUAUCGUCUCAGCUUCCUUCGGGCGAGGUCGUAAAGUCGUAACAGCUACGAACAAAAUGAAUCAAGAGCAGAGAUAUUGACGAAAGAAAGAGAAAGAAAAAAAGGUAGCGGUAAAGUAGAUGAAGCGGCAGUUACGAUUUUGAGGUUACAGGAAUAUCUCUGCGGGAACUAAGGUGCGACGUUGUUACACUGUAUAUUGAUAUACACGUGAGACACCAUAAAGGCGGUACAGACGUGAGAAUUUAUUCUUUAGUCAAGGACGCGACGUCGUUUAUUGCAAGGGAGCACAAUGUCGCCACAGUAGAAUGGACAAGCAGAGCGUGAAAAGUGUCUGCGUCACUGGCUCUUUUACUCGGAGUUCGUCGAGGUAGAAAGAUAUAAAGCUGAAGAACCAUGGUGGGAUGAGACCGUGCGCCCUUACGGUAUAGGGAGCAAGGGUGGUUACGUUUCUGCUGGUAGUGACGACAGCAGCAGCAAUGCGACUGGGAGAGUUGAUGAAUCCGACCUUGCGACGGCGUAUCCCGCAGUUUGCUAGAUUGACCCGACGUGGAAACAGCCCUCUAAAGUCACGGGGAGAUGGCUGAAGCAAGUCAGGGGUGCGUAAUUGAAACAGAAGAGUAUGACGAUGAAUAGGCAACUGAUGUCUUCGUUUACAACCAUUGUGAGACGAGUAUAGGUUGGAUGAAUUUUUAGAAAAUCAAAAAUUCGACGAAACUACUCUUGAGGCUCUGGAUGAAAUGUAUCUAAAGCGUCGUAAUUGACGACGUACGUGCGUCGUUCAUGAACGUCAAAGAAGACGUCCCCGAUGGGUGCGUUUAAUUGUCCGAAUAUUCGAGUGCGUCAUGGUCCAUCGAAAAUCCAACGAGUGGUCCAUUGUUUCACGGCUCUUGACUUCCCCAGGGGAUGAGGUCGAACCAUGCGUCUCUGGUUUGAGUGAGUGAAGGAUUUAGGUGUAGCGGCGACCAUAAAGCAAGAUUAAUGAGGCGAAAUGCAGUUCGGUAGGAAGGAGGAGAAGAGGGGAUGGCAGGGGUGUUGGCGCCAGCUGACCGACUGCUUCACUGGACCCCAUGAACCGAAUAGAAUCUCUCCCUCAUCAUCUCCUUUUAUACGGAGUCCCUUCUCAAGGAGAACAAGAUCCUCCGACACACCUCUGCCGGUAGGAGCCUGGCGUCAAGACUCUGGCACCGUGGCACCCAUGGGGCCCCAUGUUCCUCGUGGGGCAACGGGAUAGAAAACGAAUGGCCCGUGACGCUAUGGAGUCUGUCGAAAGGAAGGAUGGAAUUUAUUGAAAUUCCUUAGUACCGGGACAUACUUGCUGCGUCGGUAUUGCAGGGAACUGGAUACAGUUUCCUUCGUAAAAACUGUCUAUCCCGAUAGAUCCGUAUUACUGAGGGCCAGUACCCCGAGGACCAUAAUCCUGGAGCUAUCCCUUUGUUCGACUUAUUGUUUUCUUAGUCCUAGGUGCGAAUGGAAUAGUCUGGUACGCCCAGUGGGUCUGACUACAACAAUAACCUGAACCACCGUAGAUAAUUGGUCCCGGCAAGAAACAAUACCAGAAAGACAUCGAGCCGGUUUCAAUGCUUCGUUUAAAACUGCUGUAGCGUAGUACCAACGGCAAAGCCUCGAAGAAGUACCUGGAGGGCAUCUGCGCAAAAGCUUGCCAUUUGCAACGUUACGAACGCCGUCGGUUCAUGGUCGUCACGACGGCUUGAAAACAUCUUACCAACCGAGGGACAUGAAUGAAGCGACCAAGGUGCAAAAUCAAGAUUCAUCCAACAAUAUAAAAUUCAUUGGAGUGAACAAUUAUUUUUCCCUCUCGUUCAGAUAUCUUGGAUUUAAUCUACAAAGCAAAAGUUGGUAUCCAUGUCAAUUUUGAAAAAUCUGCUAGUCCAUAUUAUUAGAUUGAGCUCACGGAAUUCUCUGUCUAUCAUCUUUCUGAAUAAUCGUUGAAUAUUAACAUGACGAAAUUCCAGGGGGAUUCGCCGUGACGAUGAACGUGAUCGUGUGGAAACAGGUGGGACACCAAGCUUGCUCAUCUUCUUUUUAUCGUUCGAGGACGCCCCCCCUUUCAGGAAUGCCGCGUCCAUUAUACCGUUUCGUCAUUACGUGUCUGUCCGGGAGUCGACACCUUCAUAGAGAUACGUGUCAUCCGGGAGUCAUUUUUUUCUGUAACCAAAGAAAGGACAAACAGGCAUCAACACAGUUGAGCAGAAUUCAUGAAGAAAUUUUUUUCUUACACAUCAAAACGUUGAUUGAUUUCGAUGGAUUAUUUUUUCAAUUUUUCUUUAACAGCUAAAUCCCGAGUUGAAAUAUUUUUUUCACAAAAUGAAUAAAAUAAAUGAAUGCCAUCCAUUGUUGAUUUCUAUAAUUCUAGGAUAUCCCAAUCCAACAUCAUGACCACCAUCGAAUAGCCAGCAUGGUAAUGGCGAGCCGAACAAUGCUCUACGCUGUUUCGGGUCCAUGCAGCAUCCGACCCACACAUUCAGUCUACUCUGCGCCGCUCCAGGGAUGCUACAGAGUCGCACAAUCGGAGUGC